RNAcentral lists this ribosomal RNA (896 nucleotides) under uncultured bacterium. Its description in RNAcentral is "bacterial SSU rRNA". It matches the Rfam family "Bacterial small subunit ribosomal RNA", at positions 8 to 916 of the family's 1533-position model. The record is from RNAcentral.
AGAGUUUGAUCAUGGCUCAGGAUGAACGCUGGCGGCGUGCUUAACACAUGCAAGUCGAACGAUGAACCUCACUUGUGGGGGGAUUAGUGGCGAACGGGUGAGUAACACGUGAGUAACCUGCCCUUAACUCUGGGAUAAGCCUGGGAAACUGGGUCUAAUACCGGAUAUGACUCCUCAUCGCAUGGUGGGGGGUGGAAAGCUUUUUGUGGUUUUGGAUGGACUCGCGGCCUAUCAGCUUGUUGGUGAGGUAAUGGCUUACCAAGGCGACGACGGGUAGCCGGCCUGAGAGGGUGACCGGCCACACUGGGACUGAGACACGGCCCAGACUCCUACGGGAGGCAGCAGUGGGGAAUAUUGCACAAUGGGCGCAAGCCUGAUGCAGCGACGCCGCGUGAGGGAUGACGGCCUUCGGGUUGUAAACCUCUUUCAGUAGGGAAGAAGCGAAAGUGACGGUACCUGCAGAAGAAGCGCCGGCUAACUACGUGCCAGCAGCCGCGGUAAUACGUAGGGCGCAAGCGUUAUCCGGAAUUAUUGGGCGUAAAGAGCUCGUAGGCGGUUUGUCGCGUCUGCCGUGAAAGUCCGGGGCUCAACUCCGGAUCUGCGGUGGGUACGGGCAGACUAGAGUGAUGUAGGGGAGACUGGAAUUCCUGGUGUAGCGGUGAAAUGCGCAGAUAUCAGGAGGAACACCGAUGGCGAAGGCAGGUCUCUGGGCAUUAACUGACGCUGAGGAGCGAAAGCAUGGGGAGCGAACAGGAUUAGAUACCCUGGUAGUCCAUGCCGUAAACGUUGGGCACUAGGUGUGGGGGACAUUCCACGUUUUCCGCGCCGUAGCUAACGCAUUAAGUGCCCCGCCUGGGGAGUACGGCCGCAAGGCUAAAACUCAAAGGAAUUGACGG